CAACAUCUCUCGUUGAUGGGCUUCAUCCAACUAUCAUUACAUUCAUCUAUAGUAACUUGAAUUUUGUAAAGAUGAAUCUACAGCAAAACUCAUCCAGUCUCCACCAAGGGAACUUUCUUAAAGGAUCAAAGUAAAGUUUUCCUGUGGAGCCAAAGAGAUAACUUCAGUGGUCAUUGAAAUAUGCAAGGGUGGCAUUUUCGGUGGUGUCAUGAACAUAUGAUGAAAUCUACCAUGGGGUAAUUAUACGGCAUCCCUUGAAGGACGCAGCUCAUAUGGGGAACUCAAUUCAACAUUGCUCAUCCGAAGGCAGAACUGAUAGAUGGAGGCUGCUGAUGAGCAAUGGCAGGCGUGAUCAGAUAUAAUGGGAAGUUCUUCAUGAAGUUCAAGGUCAUUGCGACUGCCAUUAAGAAACCUGAUAUCAUGGUCACUGAGAUCCCCAUUUGAUCUGAGUUUGAAUUAUGAAUGUUUCUUCACUUUCUGAUUGUGGUGUAUAAUUUGUGGUCUAUCCUUUCGUUUGAGUACUUCAUAUGUCAGUAAGUAAUGUGUGAUUAAGUGUAAGAUGGAAAGGGCUACCUUAGUUGCACUUGAUGAACAGAAUAUUCAAUCAUAGAUGUUUUUGUCCCCAGUCCUAUUCCUUGAUGGCAAUGCCAAGGGGGAUAGCGGCUAGUCCGUGACCAAGGCCUUGAUGGCUAUGCCGGAGAGUCCUUGGUUGAGGGGUUACUUAGUAAACCUUCCAAGUUAAAUUGUAGAAAAAUAAUUCAUUUUUAUCCGAAUUUAUUGUGGAAGGACCUAAACUUCUUCCCAAACUAUUCUUAUAAUUUCGGUUUGAAACUUUGACUAAUUCCUCUAGAUUAGUCACAACUUUCAGUCACAAAUAAACAUUUUCAAAGACAUUGAUGUGCCUAUGAUAAAAUCUAGCAUGCAUUUUGGUGUUGUGAACAUGCUAAAUCAGAAUCAAUAUAUACAAGUUUGGACAGUAACAUAUCAAUGUAGUCCUCUUUAUAAUUUGAGCAUUCAUCCAAUAUCACCCUUCAUGCAAAAUCUAAGCGCUUUCUUCCA
Long non-coding RNA from Arachis ipaensis, 1059 nucleotides. RefSeq lists it as uncharacterized. The record is from RefSeq and is a predicted model, not a curated record. NCBI's taxonomy places the organism in Eukaryota, Viridiplantae, Streptophyta, Magnoliopsida, Fabales, Fabaceae.